GGCGAGGUUGCGGAGCGGUCAAACGCAACAGACUGUAAAUCUGUCGGCCUCAGCGCCUUCGAAGGUUCGAAUCCUUCCCUCGCCACCA
This 88-nucleotide transfer RNA is filed under the name Acidobacteriota bacterium. RNAcentral's name for it is "Acidobacteria bacterium (bioreactor metagenome) tRNA-Tyr". It matches the Rfam family "tRNA". Rfam says of the family: Transfer RNA (tRNA) molecules are approximately 80 nucleotides in length. Lineage: Bacteria; Pseudomonadati; Acidobacteriota. The record is from RNAcentral.